UGAGUUCAAGAGUACGUGAACCGUUCAGGGGUAAACCUGAGAAACCCGAAAGGUCGAAUGGGGAAAUUCAUUCGCGUUUCGACAUCGGGGUAGAAUGAUUAUUGCGACGGAUAGUGGAACUUUUGUUUCGCUGCUGCGCUUUUCGUUUGUCUUGCCGUUGUCGAACGCGUGCACUUUUCCCCUAGUAGGACGUCGCGAUCCGUUGGGUGUUUGUCUAAAAGUCGGAGUGGUGCCCGCGGGACAUUUACACGUCCCGCGGACCUUCGAUAUUUCGGCAAACUCGCUCGACGGUAUACUAAAGGCGCGAGGCCGCUUAAUGAAUAAGCGUUCGGCCCGUAGCAAGCACGUACCGUUUUGACGGCGAUCGGACCUAGUGCCGAUUCUGUCGCGGGACGACUGUUGGUUUACGGUGUUCUCGAACAGACCUCGUUGAAACGCCAAUCGGCGACGCUAUAGCUUUGGGU
RNAcentral lists this ribosomal RNA (464 nucleotides) under Wanderbiltiana nitida. Its description in RNAcentral is "eukaryotic LSU rRNA". The record is from RNAcentral. Lineage: Eukaryota; Metazoa; Arthropoda; Insecta; Coleoptera; Chrysomelidae.